UGCCUCGGCGCCCGUCCGUCACGCGCGGCUUCUUACAGCCUCCCGUAUAACCGUGCCCUUUGUGUGUGCCAACCUGGCCUCCGUAACGGUAUUCCUUGCUCCUCUUCUUCACCGCUGCACAGGCAAUUAAGAACAAAGGAAACAAAUGAGGUGGCUGUCACCAAACCCGAGUCUAUAGGUGACGGACACCCAAGACCAAAUAGCCCGAGAUGCCGCCACCACGGAAGGAACCUGAAAGCAGGAAAAUGACCCUGCUUCCCAGGGAUUUUACUUCUGUAUUUAUUUUCUUGAGCGUCUGACACAGAGCCUGGCAUGUGCUGGGCCUUCUGAAAACGUCUGGUGAACAAUAAAGGCCUUGCAAGGAAAGGGAGAACAUGAGCAUGUGGCCUGGACAAACAUGCUUCAUGCUUUUUCUACGCCCUGUCUGGGUUGAGCCUGCAAAUGAGCAUGGAUCCAGUCCCUUUUACUGUCCCUCGGCUGAAAGAGAAAACUAAACAAUGAGACCGUGGUUCAAGAAGUGAAUGACUACUGCAGAAGACAGUGUGGAGUGACGGACAAAGGGGACAGCCAUCUUGUUGAUGUGCACAGAGAAAGGGCAUUUGGGUUUUCUUUCUUCCUCUCACCAAGGGGGGGGGGGGAAGAGUCUGUUAGUAAUAAAACUCACAAAGAGUAAUCAA
Molecule: long non-coding RNA, 677 nt
Organism: Peromyscus maniculatus bairdii (prairie deer mouse)
Lineage: Eukaryota; Metazoa; Chordata; Mammalia; Rodentia; Cricetidae
Source: RefSeq, a predicted model, not a curated record